AGUGAACGCUGGCGGCAGGCCUAACACAUGCAAGUCGAGCGGCAGCGCGGGGGCAACCCUGGCGGCGAGCGGCGGACGGGUGAGGAAUUCGUCGGGAUCUGCCUUUUUGUGGGGGAUAACGUAGGGAAACUUACGCUAAUACCGCAUACGUCCUACGGGAGAAAGUGGGGGACCGCAAGGCCUCACGCAGAAAGAUGAGCCGACGACCGAUUAGCUAGUUGGUGGGGUAAAGGCCCACCAAGGCGACGAUCGGUAGCUGGUCUGAGAGGAUGAUCAGCCACACUGGGACUGAGACACGGCCCAGACUCCUACGGGAGGCAGCAGUGGGGAAUAUUGGACAAUGGGCGCAAGCCUGAUCCAGCCAUGCCGCGUGUGUGAAGAAGGCCUUCGGGUUGUAAAGCACUUUUGUCCGGAAAGAAAUCCCUGGAGCUAAUACCUUCGGGGGAUGACGGUACCGGAAGAAUAAGCACCGGCUAACUUCGUG
Molecule: ribosomal RNA, 484 nt
Filed under: uncultured bacterium
Lineage: Bacteria
Description: partial 16S ribosomal RNA
Rfam family: Bacterial small subunit ribosomal RNA
Source: RNAcentral